RNAcentral lists this ribosomal RNA (1542 nucleotides) under Salmonella enterica. RNAcentral's name for it is "16S ribosomal RNA". It matches the Rfam family "Bacterial small subunit ribosomal RNA". RNAcentral also lists the same sequence under 8 other names. Lineage: Bacteria; Pseudomonadati; Pseudomonadota; Gammaproteobacteria; Enterobacterales; Enterobacteriaceae. The record is from RNAcentral.
AAAUUGAAGAGUUUGAUCAUGGCUCAGAUUGAACGCUGGCGGCAGGCCUAACACAUGCAAGUCGAACGGUAACAGGAAGCAGCUUGCUGCUUUGCUGACGAGUGGCGGACGGGUGAGUAAUGUCUGGGAAACUGCCUGAUGGAGGGGGAUAACUACUGGAAACGGUGGCUAAUACCGCAUAACGUCGCAAGACCAAAGAGGGGGACCUUCGGGCCUCUUGCCAUCAGAUGUGCCCAGAUGGGAUUAGCUUGUUGGUGAGGUAACGGCUCACCAAGGCGACGAUCCCUAGCUGGUCUGAGAGGAUGACCAGCCACACUGGAACUGAGACACGGUCCAGACUCCUACGGGAGGCAGCAGUGGGGAAUAUUGCACAAUGGGCGCAAGCCUGAUGCAGCCAUGCCGCGUGUAUGAAGAAGGCCUUCGGGUUGUAAAGUACUUUCAGCGGGGAGGAAGGUGUUGUGGUUAAUAACCGCAGCAAUUGACGUUACCCGCAGAAGAAGCACCGGCUAACUCCGUGCCAGCAGCCGCGGUAAUACGGAGGGUGCAAGCGUUAAUCGGAAUUACUGGGCGUAAAGCGCACGCAGGCGGUCUGUCAAGUCGGAUGUGAAAUCCCCGGGCUCAACCUGGGAACUGCAUUCGAAACUGGCAGGCUUGAGUCUUGUAGAGGGGGGUAGAAUUCCAGGUGUAGCGGUGAAAUGCGUAGAGAUCUGGAGGAAUACCGGUGGCGAAGGCGGCCCCCUGGACAAAGACUGACGCUCAGGUGCGAAAGCGUGGGGAGCAAACAGGAUUAGAUACCCUGGUAGUCCACGCCGUAAACGAUGUCUACUUGGAGGUUGUGCCCUUGAGGCGUGGCUUCCGGAGCUAACGCGUUAAGUAGACCGCCUGGGGAGUACGGCCGCAAGGUUAAAACUCAAAUGAAUUGACGGGGGCCCGCACAAGCGGUGGAGCAUGUGGUUUAAUUCGAUGCAACGCGAAGAACCUUACCUGGUCUUGACAUCCACAGAACUUUCCAGAGAUGGACUGGUGCCUUCGGGAACUGUGAGACAGGUGCUGCAUGGCUGUCGUCAGCUCGUGUUGUGAAAUGUUGGGUUAAGUCCCGCAACGAGCGCAACCCUUAUCCUUUGUUGCCAGCGGUCCGGCCGGGAACUCAAAGGAGACUGCCAGUGAUAAACUGGAGGAAGGUGGGGAUGACGUCAAGUCAUCAUGGCCCUUACGACCAGGGCUACACACGUGCUACAAUGGCGCAUACAAAGAGAAGCGACCUCGCGAGAGCAAGCGGACCUCAUAAAGUGCGUCGUAGUCCGGAUUGGAGUCUGCAACUCGACUCCAUGAAGUCGGAAUCGCUAGUAAUCGUGGAUCAGAAUGCCACGGUGAAUACGUUCCCGGGCCUUGUACACACCGCCCGUCACACCAUGGGAGUGGGUUGCAAAAGAAGUAGGUAGCUUAACCUUCGGGAGGGCGCUUACCACUUUGUGAUUCAUGACUGGGGUGAAGUCGUAACAAGGUAACCGUAGGGGAACCUGCGGUUGGAUCACCUCCUUA